AACUCAGCUAGGGAGAGUAUAACAUUCAUGUUGACGAGACCUAGACGAAACACAGAGGAAAAUUAUUAAUCACUGGAUAGUAUUAGUAAUGACUCUGUGUCCAUGA
RNAcentral lists this non-coding RNA (106 nucleotides) under unclassified sequences. The record is from RNAcentral.